GUCUACGGCCAUGCUACCCUGAACAAGCCCGAUCCUGUCUGAUCUCAGAAGCGAAGCAGAGUCGGGCCUGGUUAGUACUUGCAUGAGAGACCACCUAGGAAGACCAGGUGCUGUAGGCG
This 119-nucleotide ribosomal RNA is filed under the name Pteropus alecto (black flying fox). The record is from RNAcentral. Lineage: Eukaryota; Metazoa; Chordata; Mammalia; Chiroptera; Pteropodidae.